AUGGUGGAGGGGCGUUGGCGGGGCGGUGGUGUGGGGAUCGCCGAAGAAAAAGCUUGGCACGGGGGGGCCUAG
This 72-nucleotide ribosomal RNA is filed under the name Triticum aestivum (bread wheat). RNAcentral's name for it is "partial small subunit ribosomal RNA". The record is from RNAcentral. Lineage: Eukaryota; Viridiplantae; Streptophyta; Magnoliopsida; Poales; Poaceae.